CUUCGGGAUAAGCCUGGGAAACUGGGUCUAAUACCGGAUAGGACGAUGGUUUGGAUGCCAUUGUGGAAAGUUUUUUCGGUGUGGGAUGAGCUCGCGGCCUAUCAGCUUGUUGGUGGGGUAAUGGCCUACCAAGGCGUCGACGGGUAGCCGGCCUGAGAGGGUGUACGGCCACAUUGGGACUGAGAUACGGCCCAGACUCCUACGGGAGGCAGCAGUGGGGAAUAUUGCACAAUGGGCGCAACCUUGAUGCAGCGACGCCGCGUGGGGGGAUGACGGCCUUCGGGUUGUAAACUCCUUUCGCUAGGGACGAAGCGCAAGUUACGGUACCUGGAGAAGAAGCACCGGCUAACUACGUGCCARCAGCCGCGGUAAUACGUAGGGUGCGAGCGUUGUCCGGAAUUACUGGGCGUAAARAGCUCSUAGGUGGUUUGUCGCGUCGUUUKUKUAARCCCSCAGCUUAACUKCGGGACUUCAGGCGAUACGGGCAUAACUUUAGUUCUKUAGGGGAGACUKGAAUUCCUYGUGUAGCGGUKGAAUWCCCAGAUAUCAAGARGAACACCCAUUGCCAAAGCAGGUCUCUUGGCARUAACUUACRCUYAAGARCCAAACAUUGGUADCCAAC
This 622-nucleotide ribosomal RNA is filed under the name uncultured organism. Its description in RNAcentral is "partial small subunit ribosomal RNA". It matches the Rfam family "Bacterial small subunit ribosomal RNA", at positions 136 to 773 of the family's 1533-position model. The record is from RNAcentral.